This 723-nucleotide long non-coding RNA is filed under the name Homo sapiens (human). RNAcentral describes it as "novel transcript, antisense to GZMK". Lineage: Eukaryota; Metazoa; Chordata; Mammalia; Primates; Hominidae. The record is from RNAcentral.
AGAAACGGGUUUUCACCAUAUCGCCCAGGCUGGUCUCAAACUCCUGAGUUCAACAGAUCCAUCCACCUUGGCCUCCCAAAGUGCUGGGAUUACAGGAGAAGGAUGACAUAAAAAUCUUCAGGAUGAAUGCUCUAACAGAAAGGUGGGCACGUGCCUAAAUGACUCACACAAAGAAGGCUAUGAGGAGCCUUGAGCAUUUGAGAUGGAGUGAGGCCAUGUGGAAGGGGCUGUGGAAGGUUCCAUCUAACAACUUGCUAGGCAGGUUGGGGCAGGAGGAAGUGCUCUGUGAGAGGGGCCUGGGAGAGAAUCAGGAGAACAGGGUACAACAGCUGGUGAGAGUUUUGCUUCUGAUAUAGACAAUGCCUGGAGAGCAAACCAUUACAGCUAAGAGAGAUCUUUAAGUGAAAGAAAAGGAGAAGGCUCCAUUUCAGCUUAUUAGGAACAGAUGACAAUGCAUUGCCAGGCCUUCAAUACAAAAGGUAUUAGACUCAAGAUUCUACAAGAUUCUGUUUGUGCCAGACACUGAUCAGCAGUGCAAAUAUAAAAUGAAUACAAACAGAUCACGCAUCAGAAUGCCAAUCACUUCCUAGUAACACUGAUCAAAAUUUGCAUUAAAUCAACAGAUCUUUCUUUUAAGAGGUGUGUGGCAACAGUAAAGCUUUCUACAUGUUAAACAGAAUGAACAAAACCAACGCAGAGCAGUGACUUCCUGUCAGAGCAGAA